AUACCUGCAAAGGGGAGCCGGAGAUUGGCCGGCUGAGAUAGUGUACCGAUACACUGACCCUCACAACCUGAUCCGGAUUAUGCCGGCGUAGGGAUUGCGCAUGGUUUCAGA
RNAcentral lists this non-coding RNA (111 nucleotides) under Thermoactinomyces sp. RNAcentral's name for it is "TPP sequence". It matches the Rfam family "TPP riboswitch aptamer (THI element)". Rfam says of the family: Vitamin B(1) in its active form thiamin pyrophosphate (TPP) is an essential coenzyme that is synthesised by coupling of pyrimidine and thiazole moieties in bacteria. The previously detected thiamin-regulatory element, thi box was extended, resulting in a new, highly conserved RNA secondary structure, the THI element, which is widely distributed in eubacteria and also occurs in some archaea. The record is from RNAcentral. RNAcentral also lists the same sequence under 1 other name. Lineage: Bacteria; Bacillati; Bacillota; Bacilli; Caryophanales; Thermoactinomycetaceae.